GUCUCUUCACGAUUAGUUUCUGGGAUGGAUGAGUGAAAGUGGCUGCUCUCAAUAAUGUCGCAUGGAAGAAAAACACUAACAUACAAGACGUCUCCUGGUUAUGGGUGUGUGUUGACAAGAACCGAAGGGAAAAGACAAAGAGGCCGUGAGGAAGUUGUAAAACAGCCUGACGUGAGCAUUAAGUCGCAGUGCAUCUGCCUGAGGACGGGCCUCCGCGUCUGCCACUGCACCAAACCGCUUCAGCGAGCAGAGCGCAAAUGAUGACACAACUGUGCCAGAAGCUGUUUACUAAAGAAAACAUGAAUAAUGACAGGAACCGUCGAGGAAUCGUCCAGAGUGCAUGGGAAACGAGCAAGUGGGACAAACUCAGCAGGAAAAGGUUGUCCCUGAGGAUUGGCCUCGUCACCCUAUCGACUACGCCAGGAUCCGCAUCUCCCACAAUCCUCUGGCUCUCCUCUGGUGGUGUCUUUCUUUAGCCCCGUGUUUGGAUGUUGGCAGGCAAGUUUCCUUUCAUUGGCAUUGCGACGCUGCAGCAGCGUGCCAGCUGUUUACGCCUCUUUGUCUUU
Molecule: long non-coding RNA, 566 nt
Organism: Sinocyclocheilus anshuiensis
Lineage: Eukaryota; Metazoa; Chordata; Actinopteri; Cypriniformes; Cyprinidae
Exons: 4
Source: RefSeq, a predicted model, not a curated record